This 780-nucleotide ribosomal RNA is filed under the name Pseudocercospora tecomicola. RNAcentral describes it as "eukaryotic LSU rRNA". It matches the Rfam family "Eukaryotic large subunit ribosomal RNA", at positions 93 to 905 of the family's 3401-position model. The record is from RNAcentral. Lineage: Eukaryota; Fungi; Ascomycota; Dothideomycetes; Mycosphaerellales; Mycosphaerellaceae.
GUGAAGCGGCAACAGCUCAAAUUUGAAAUCUGGCGCAAGCCCGAGUUGUAAUUUGUAGAGGAUGCUUCUGGGUAGCGGCCGGUCUAAGUUCCUUGGAACAGGACGUCAUAGAGGGUGAGAAUCCCGUAUGUGACUGGCUUGCACCCUCCACGUAGCUCCUUCGACGAGUCGAGUUGUUUGGGAAUGCAGCUCUAAAUGGGAGGUAAAUUUCUUCUAAAGCUAAAUACCGGCCAGAGACCGAUAGCGCACAAGUAGAGUGAUCGAAAGAUGAAAAGCACUUUGGAAAGAGAGUUAAAAAGCACGUGAAAUUGUUGAAAGGGAAGCGCCCGCAACCAGACUUUGCGGCAGUGUUCGGCCGGUCUUCUGACCGGUUUACUCGCUGUCGUGAGGCCAUCAUCGUCUGGGACCGCUGGAUAAGACCUUAGGAAUGUAGCUUCCCUCGGGAAGUGUUAUAGCCUCUGGUGAUGCAGCGCGUCUCGGGCGAGGUCCGCGCUUCGGCAAGGAUGAUGGCGUAAUGGUUGUCGGCGGCCCGUCUUGAAACACGGACCAAGGAGUCUAACAUCUAUGCGAGUGUUCGGGUGUCAAACCCCUACGCGUAAUGAAAGUGAACGGAGGUGGGAACUUUUUGUGCACCAUCGACCGAUCCUGAUGUCCUCGGAUGGAUUUGAGUAAGAGCAUAGCUGUUGGGACCCGAAAGAUGGUGAACUAUGCCUGAAUAGGGUGAAGCCAGAGGAAACUCUGGUGGAGGCUCGCAGCGGUUCUGACGUGCAAAUCGAUCGC